CGGAGGGAUCAUUACACAACAAAAUAUGAAGGCCUGGCUUUCGCGGCCGGCUGAAGUAUUUUUUUCACCCAUGUCUUUUGCGCACUUGUUGUUUCCUGGGCGGGUUCGCCCGCCACCAGGACCAAACCAUAAACCUUUUUUUCUUAUGCAGUUUCCAUCAGCGUCAGUAAAAACAAUGUAAUUAUUACAACUUUCAACAACGGAUCUCUUGGUUCUGGCAUCGAUGAAGAACGCAGCGAAAUGCGAUACGUAGUGUGAAUUGCAGAAUUCAGUGAAUCAUCGAAUCUUUGAACGCACAUUGCGCCCUUUGGUAUUCCAAAGGGCAUGCCUGUUCGAGCGUCAUUUGUACCUUCAAGCUUUGCUUGGUGUUGGGCGUUUUUUUGUCUCCCUCUUUCUGGGAGACUCGCCUUAAAACGAUUGGCAGCCGGCCUACUGGUUUCGGAGCGCAGCACAUUUUUUGCGCUUUGUAUCAGGAGAAAAGGACGGUACUCCAUCAANGACUCUACAUUUUUCACUUUUGACCUCGGAUCAGGUAGGGAUACCCGCUGAACUUAA
This 555-nucleotide ribosomal RNA is filed under the name Bipolaris oryzae. RNAcentral describes it as "eukaryotic LSU rRNA". The stretch from base 189 to 342 matches the Rfam family "5.8S ribosomal RNA". Lineage: Eukaryota; Fungi; Ascomycota; Dothideomycetes; Pleosporales; Pleosporaceae. The record is from RNAcentral.